Molecule: long non-coding RNA, 3209 nt
Organism: Phyllostomus discolor (pale spear-nosed bat)
Lineage: Eukaryota; Metazoa; Chordata; Mammalia; Chiroptera; Phyllostomidae
Exons: 2
Source: RefSeq, a predicted model, not a curated record
AUGGAAUAGUCCCAAACUGGAAAAUUUUGGCUUAGAGUUUGAUAGCUUUUAGACAUAUAUUAAGGCCAAAGUUCGUAGAUGAUACAAAAGCAAAAGCAAAAGCAAAAGGAUAUUUUUGAGGAAUUGAGUUAUAAAAGUAAAUAUUAGUUCCCUGACCCUCCCUCAACAUUAUAUAGUUAAAGAAAUAAAAGUCAUCCACCUCUGUUAUUACCACUAGGUUACAAAGCUUUAAUUUUCAUUGCUGUUUGAUUACAUGUACACUGAUUUUUUUUUUUACCUGGAAUAUUUCUACUUUAUUCUAUUUCCCACACAAUCAAAACCAGUUUCAUUUCUUUGUCUCCUUGUUAGAUUAUUUUGAGGGCCUGGAAGAGGUGGGCAAGAUGCUAUUUUAGUACAUUGACCUCAGCCGAUGGUUUGGGACUGCGCGAGUAAAAAUGAAUGCAUCAGUCACUAAAAAGAGAAGUGCAGUUUAAUUCACCUGAUGUCAAACACAAGCUCUGUUAAAUCUAUUUGGACUUAAUUGCAAAUUUCAGUCUUUCUAUACAGUGUAGUUAUCUGAACAUCUUGCCAUUAAAAUUAAGUGCAAGUGAAUUUUGACAUAUUCACUUUCCUUUGUAAUAAAUGAAAGGUAGUAUUUUUAUUUUGAAAUAUUUAUAGUAUGAAUUACCAAAAUGGUAUUUUUUCUCCUAUUCUAAUAAAUCUGUUUUUACAUAAGUGCUAGAGGUUAAUGGCUAGAUUUUAAAUUGCUUUCCAUUUUGAUAGUAAGUAGAUUUCUAAGAGAUGAUUUUAUUAAAGAGAUUUUAGUCACUCUGAUUUUCUCUUUAUGAGGAUGGUUCAUAUGUGCACAAACUCAACUGUAAAAUAUGAAGCCUAAUCAGAAUUUUUCUAAAAACAUAGCUAUGAAUAUUAUUUUGAAAGGACUUUCUUUUUUCUAAUAAUGCAAUUUUAUGCCCCUUUCAGAUAGGUCUUUUUUCUACAAAGAUUGUAUGCUUUUUCUCUGAGUCAUGUAACACCUCUCAAAAGUGAAUAAGGGGAGUCGUCCCACUGAAAAUUAACUUUGAAUUAAUUCGCUGUAACUGUGAUCAAAUAUUGAUCAGUUUUCUUUAUUUUGUGCAUGGUUGCAAAGUGAGAAAUAGAAUGCAAACCCUCAAAUAUUAAUUCAGUUACAUUGAAAAAAUUAAACUAGUUACACAAAGGCAUAAAAUAAAAAUACCGAACACCUGAUAUUCUGUGAAUGUUAUUUAUUGUUGUCCUAUACUAAUUUCAUUGUUGUUUAUGAUGUUUUUAAAGAGCCAUAAUUUUAGCUAUUUUGAAGGGUCUACUAAAUUCAGAAUUAGUAUUGAAAAAUGAAAUGUAAAUACCUAGAUCUUCGAUAGCAAAGUAAUUAAAAUGUAUGGUUUUGCCUACUGUGUAUAAUAAGGGCUUAUAUUUGAUCAACCAUAAAGUUAUUUAAUCAUUUUAACCUUGGAAUACUACCCCACAAAACACUACUUAAUGGAAGUUAGCUGAGACGCAUUAAGGUAUCAAAACAUCAGGUCGGCAAAGCCAGAGGGCCCAGAAAAUUCAUGCCCAGCUCACUCGGACAUAAUGCCAUAGUAGGUUGCGUGGCAACCGGUGACUGUGGAUUUUGAAGUUACUUUAUCCGCAUUCAAUGAGGAAUGACUUAGCCUGAAUUCAUUUUUGUAAUUUCCAAAAUUAAUGAAGUAUUUGAGAAUUCUUUUAAUAGCCAUUUUCUAGGUUCCUACAGUUUAGAAAUCCACGUGUACACAUCCGGUUCACAGAAGAGCACUGGUUACUGCUUUCCUGGUUACUUAUUAAUGACACAUGUUAAAUGCCUACUGACAGAUUCGCCAUGUCCUGUAACUCACUGGUUAUCGUCCAGAAUUUCAACACAACUUACUUUAAGAGAUUUGCUGUUGACUCCAUCACUGUCAGUUAUGACAUAAGAACGCUUUUUAAAAUUUUCAAUUUAUAUCUAUUUUUGCUAUAAGCUGCCAUUACCUUACUAUCAGGUAGUUCCCCAGCUUUAUGACAAACAGAGAUUUUUGGUUGCUGUUUUUAUUGUUAAGAAUAAAAUAAUGUCACUAAAUGUCAAUUAUAUCAGCCAUAUUUUAGAUUGGAUGGGGAAAUAGAAAGUAUUUCUAUUUUACACAAUUUAUUUUGCCUAGUUUUGUCUUGGGAUAGAAGAAAAGAACAGAAGAGUUGGCUAUAACUAGUGUUUGAAGUAUAUUUUCAGACAUUUGACAAGCAAACAUCAUAUUUCGUUAGGAUUUUUUACUUGGCAAAAGAUAUAAAUUUCUGAUAUGUUAUUAUUGAGUCAGUUCUGUUGAUAUUUCUUUGAAUUAGUAAUUAUGUGGAUCUGAUUAUGUGAAAUCUCCUACCUUUUAAUUUAUUUGUUUCUGUCUGUUAAUAGAUGAAUUAAACUAGAGUUAUUCUAAAGGUAUAAUAUAAACCUGUCUUUGAAUAACUUAAAAUAAAAGUAAACUUACUACGCUGUGUAAAGUAAUCCUGUAUAACCAAACUAAAAUGGAAACAAAAAGGUCUUUGAAUCACAGAGGCCAAAACAUUUUCAAAUAAAUCUGCUAAACAAAAUACGUACCAUGAUGCCAUCUUCCAAUGUUAUCAUUAGAUGUCACGUCUUAAACAGCAGAGAAUUAGUGAUUAAAAUAUGCAUCAUUCAGUGCUACAAAAUACAUGUCUGGAAAUUCAUCCUUCAGGAAUGUGCGAAUAUUGUCUGAAAAGACAGUUUUCAUGGUGAUGAUUGCAAAGCUACUGCCAUGAAGAACAGAGUCAACCAGGAACGGCAGUUCUUCCUUUAAAAUGAAGCGUAGGUGUUUGCAUCAGAGGUGUUUCUGUGUGAGCAUAAAGAGGAAUCACCAGUCAGACAUUCCAGGUUUGAUUUACUUGCUCUGUGGCAGUCUUUCUUCCCACAGCGUUUCUAGACUUCAGUGGAUUUAACUCUUGAUCACUCAUUUUAUAAUCAGCAGUCUGGAAUAAAAUGUAACAUAAUUAAAACAUCUUGGAUUGUGUGACAUUUCACAAAUAAAUUCCAAACAGAACUGGUUAUCAAAUCACAGCUGUAGUAUGAAUAAAUGUGUCGUACAAUGUUGUUCAUUAUUUGACAGGAAGUGUCUGUUCAGCUUCUUUGAGGGCUGCUUCUGCAUGUUUGUUUUGUAUUUGCUGUUAUUGUUUUGCUUUGUUUUGAACAA